GAGGAGGGGCUUGCCACAGGAAGGGGAUGGCAGGUACGAUAACAAGGUUGGAAGGAGAAAGAGGUGUGGCUGGGAAGGAGAUCCACAUAACUGAAGACAAGAGUGAGAGUUGGAAGAAUUAAAGAGAUGUCAGAGACCAGAGGAUGUGAAUGUCUUCUUUCAUGUGAGUGUAAAAUUAGGUGGCGGUGACCAGACAAUAUCAGAAUGCCAAGGCCCCAGUUCUCUGGGCAAUUACAAAUGCUGACGCUGAAGGCCUGAUCUCAGAUAAUGAGAUACCACAUGUGUUAGGGAAGUUAUGAAACUCCUAUGUGGACCUGGAACAGAGACCAGUGAUACCACAAUUACCUUGGAAGAAAGAUUGAGAGUCCCAACAUAAAAGGGAUUCCAGCAAACUUUGAUUAAUGAAACAUCCAGCCUCUCAGGACAGGUAUAGAAGGCUAGAAAACUCCUCUUGGAAAACAACCCAGCAGAAGAGGACAGCAGAAAGCUUUUUCGGCCCUGGGGAUCUGACUCAAGAGGUGCACAGCCAAUACCCCUCACACUGAGGAGUAGAGAGAACCCACUCUCAGUUCCCCCGAGUUCCAGGAGCAGUGAAAUCACUAAAGAAGAAUAGAUGUGUCCAUCAAGAUUAGCCCUGAGCUAACUGCUGCCAAUCCUCCUUUUUUUGCUGAAGAAGACUGGCCCUGAGCUAACAUCCAUGCCCAUCUUCCUCUGCUUUAUAUGUGGGACGCCUACCACAGCAUGGCUUGCCAAGCAGUGCCAUGUCUGCACCCGGGAUCCGAACCCGCAAACAUCGGCGAACUUUGCGGAAAGUGCAAACUUAACCACUGUGCCACCAGGCUGGCCCCGGUUUUUAAUUUCUAAAGUGUCAGCAGCCUUCCUCAUCUUGGUGACACUUGCAGAGAUGUGUAGAGUCUUUUCUCUUGAUUUAGUUUCUAGAACUUGUACUUGUACGACAUUAAUUUCUUUCACUAGCAAGACACAAAGCUCUUUCAUUGUCUGUGGAAGUAACGAUAUGUUCUCUUUCAUUCUACCAAUGUUGUCAGUUAUAUUAAUGAGUUCCCUGAUGUUAAAACCUCUUUGCGUUCUGAAAUGAAUCCCACUUGGUUAUGAUGUAUUAUUUUUUACUUGUAAUUUUGGAUUCUCUUUUUUAGUAUUUUAUUUUAGAUAUUUUUGGUAUCAAUAUUCACAGGUAAGAUUUGUCUACCGCCAUCUUUGUCUGGUUUUGGUACCAGUGUUACGCUCACUUCUUAAAAAGAAUUUGGAGACUUUCCUUUUUUUUUUCUUUCUUUACUGUUGUACAAUUUAAACACCUUUGGGAUUAACAUAUUUUAAAAUUUCACAGAAUUUCCCUGUGAAACCAUUCAGGUCUGGUGCUUUUCUGCACAGGAGUUUUUUGAAAACAUUCUCAAUUUCUUUAAUGGAAAUUGGUCUAUUUAUAAGUUCUGUCUUUAUGGGUGUUUCUCUUAUGAUUUUCAAAAUAUGUAUCAAUACUUUUGUCUCUUAUGUCUUUCUUAUUUUGAUUAUUCUUCACUCUACCUCUUAAAAAACUAGCUUAGUUAGAGUUUUAUUCAUUUUGCUGAUUUUCCCCCAGGCUUAUUUAUUUAUUUAUUGACUGUUAUCAUUAAAUUCUUUUUUUAUAUUUAUUAUUUACUUCCUUCUGAUGUCUUUUGUUAGAGUUUGCUUUUCUUCAUCUAGCUUUUUGGAUUACACAUUUUGCCCUUUUAUUUUAAACAUUUAUUUAAUGCUAGGAUUAUUCCUCUGAGCAUUAUUUUCAGCUAUAUCCCACAAAUUCUGAUAUGUUUUGUUUUCUAGGAAUUCCAGAAAAUUUUGUUUUGUAUCUCCUCUUUGUCCCACGGGUUGUUUAAUACAUGUUAUUUAUUUAUGUAGCUCAGGUGGAAAAGCCUUUUUGUUAGCGAGUUUUAAAUUUUAUUAUCUUCUAGUUUCAUUGUAUUGUGUGCAGAGCAUGGUACUAUGAUUAUUACUAUUUUUUAAUUUACUGAGGUUUUGUUUGUAGACCUAUAAAUAGUCAAUUUCUAUAAAUAUUCAUUGUACACUUAGAAAGAAAGUAUAUCUUCCAGUAUUUGGGUCUACACUGUCUAUAUCCCUAGCAGUUUUUGAUCUGCUUGAUCUGUUUAGCUCUGAGAGAGGUGAUAUCGUCUUGCUCAUUAGUAUGUUUCUGUCUAGUUCUCGUUAUAUACUUUAAAUUAUGAAAGGUCUUUUAUUUUUUAAUAUUUCUGAAUUAUUUUAUGUGAUGCAUGCUUCUUUAUACAGCACUGAAUUGGAUUUUGUUUAAACCUAUCUAAUAAUAUUUUUUCUUUAUAGAUAGUUUACAUUUAUUUACAUGUAUGAAUAUGAUUUAUUUGGUCCCAGUUUGUCAUAUUGCUUUAUAUUUCAUACAUUACAUAAGUACCUCCUAUAUGUUACAUUUACCAAAUUAAGUUUUUUACUAGAUGGACAAUCUUUCUUUCUCAUUCUAUGGUGUUUAGGGAGGUGUAUAUUUUUGUUCUAGUGAUUAUCACUAAUGAAUAAUUUCAUUAUAUAAUACCUUCAGUUGUCUCUUUAUUUAGAGAUUUAGAUAUUGGCUCUUGGUUUCCUAAUAUGAGCCAUACUGACAUUAGUUAUGAAUUGCUUCUCUCCCACUCCCUUGCCCACUGAUUUGUUGCUCAGGGUUUUAUCUUUGUAAUUGGAAGUUAACAUCUGUUACUUGACUUUUCAGUUUCGAGUGAUAUUGUUUUAUUCUUACCUAAUAACCAGAGCCAGUCAGAGACCUUAUUCUAUUUUAUACUUAUUGCCUUUCUUAUUCUCCCAUUUUUAGUUAGUUGAAUUAUUUCUACAAUAUCAGAACAUAUGAUACUUAGUUAUAGCUUUAUCUUCCUUUUGCCCUUUUAGUUUUACUUCUCCAUUACUUACAUUUACUAUUAACCAUAGACUUAUGCAGAAGAUUUAAAACGAUUUUGUGGUUUUGUUAAAUUUGAUCUGUGGUGGAUUCCUGGAUGUUCAUAGCUGGUUGUCUGUGGCCUUUAUUCUUGAAGAAUAGUUUAGCUAAGGAUUCAAUCUUUGGCUCACAUUUUUCCUUGAGAAUGACAUCUUGAUUAAAAUAUUUUUGACAAGAAGUCUGAUGACUAUCUGAUUUUCUUAUGCUUUUCUUUGAUUUAUAUGAUUUAGACUUUUUGCAGUAUGCUCAGAGAAUAUUUUCCUUGUAAUUAAAGCCCAAUGAUUGUAUUGGAAUAUUUGUCAGUAUUGAACAUUUUGAGUCGACUUUUCAAGUAAUGGAAUGCCUGUUC
This is a long non-coding RNA of Equus caballus (horse), 3287 nucleotides long. NCBI's taxonomy places the organism in Eukaryota, Metazoa, Chordata, Mammalia, Perissodactyla, Equidae. The record is from Ensembl.